Long non-coding RNA from Tympanuchus pallidicinctus (lesser prairie-chicken), 1475 nucleotides. RefSeq lists it as uncharacterized. The transcript is spliced from 3 exons. NCBI's taxonomy places the organism in Eukaryota, Metazoa, Chordata, Aves, Galliformes, Phasianidae. The record is from RefSeq and is a predicted model, not a curated record.
AAACAUCAGAGGAAACUCCUAGGGGAAAUUCCUUCUGCAUGCUCGAUCAGUUGUGCAGCUUCAGUUAAAGUUUCAGUCUGUAAGGCUGCAGAUGCCUACCUGUAAGUUGUUGGCAACCAAGGGGGAGAGUUGGUCUCCUUGUUCCUAUGGCAGCCAUGGACCCCUGUGCUUGGGUGGUCCUCCAGAGGCACUGACACAGAGCCUGAAAGGAAGCUCCAAUCUCUGAUCCACAGGUGCCUCCAGCCUGGCAGGACCUGGUUCUUCUGAUUAGCAGCAGUUCUUGCUUGAAAGUAUGGGGAGCCUGGGACUGAGGGCAAACUUCUGGGAGUCCUCUUUCCACUGAAAUGACUCUGAAAAUAAUGAAUGAGGGAAGAGAGAAGAAGAGAAGGCAGAAGAUGAGCAGAGCAGCUUUGGGUGUGCUUCAAUCUCUUGUUAUUCACGUGUUCUUUCAUUUGGGAGAUCGUUUACUCUGGGAACUCAAUGCUGAUACCAGCUUCUUUUGUCAGAACUGUCUUCAUACUUACAGGCUGCUGGAAGAGCCAUUAAACCCAAGCUGUAAUUCCCUUUGCCUUUGGGCACAAAGUGCUGCCCUUAGCAAUGACAAUAAUACAGGAUUGUACUCGCAAAGGGAAAGAAGGGAAGUCUCAGGAUAAGAUGUGAGGCCGGGUGAGUGAGCCCUGUGCCGCUGAUGGGUGGCACUGGGGAUUGUGUGUGUACUGCAAGCAUCACUGAGAAAAGUGCUUGAGGAGUUUGGGGAUCCAUUAAGUAGAGAGCAGGACUGUGUGCAUAUUGUUUUGAGCUUGGAUGCUUUAGUGGAGACAACCACAGCUCCAGAAUGCAGACUCAAAGCAAGUGUCAGCUCACUUUUUCAAAGAUGUGUGCUUCUAACCAAAUUAUACACUGUCCUUUCCCUCCCUUCCCAAGGUUAUCUCAUGUCAAGUUCUGGCAGUUCUUGUUGCUGCAUCAUCUCUGUCUGUUCUGUGACUCACUGCUCAAUGUGAGUCAGAGAGCCUUGUAAGGAGGGGAGUCUGCAAGCUGAUUUCUGUGUGUCCAAAUAACAGACAAAUAUUUGAAUUAUAGAUAGCAACUAACUGCUAAUUGGCCACAACGUAAGGCCCUUCUGACACUGUAAAUAUGGAAAAGAAUAGCUUGUUAUUUUUCACACCUGAAUGCCAGUCUUUUAAAAUGAAAAGCUAAUUCUAGCCUGGGAGGCAAGCUCUGUGUUUUAGUCUAGAGUGAUAGAGCGAGAACAAUAAAUGAACACUUAAGGUGAGGAGGAUUUCCCUGCAGCAAGUUUACUUGUGAUAAGUUAUACUGCCCUAUGGGAGACAAAAUUAAACUGUAGCUUUGAUUCAGAUCUCAAAGAAGUCUCAGCAGAAAACCUGACUGAAGAAAACAAAGCAAGAGACCACACUUUGAAUUGAGCAAAACACAAAUUAGGAAAAGCUUGUGUAGAUACUGUGCAUGUACAAGUG